RNAcentral lists this ribosomal RNA (253 nucleotides) under uncultured bacterium. RNAcentral describes it as "partial 16S ribosomal RNA". It matches the Rfam family "Bacterial small subunit ribosomal RNA", at positions 15 to 263 of the family's 1533-position model. The record is from RNAcentral.
GAUCCUGGCUCAGGAUGAACGCUAGCGACAGGCUUAACACAUGCAAGUCGAGGGGCAGCACGGUGUAGCGAUACACUGGUGGCGACCGGCGCACGGGUGAGUAACACGUGUGCAACCAACCCCGUACCGGGAGAUAACCCGCGGAAACGUGGACUAACAUCCCAUGAGACUCUAGAGCCGCAUGGCUCUAGAUUUAAAAUUCCGGUGGUACGGGACGGGCACGCGCGACAUUAGGUAGUUGGCGGGGUAACGG